Molecule: non-coding RNA, 31 nt
Filed under: Homo sapiens (human)
Lineage: Eukaryota; Metazoa; Chordata; Mammalia; Primates; Hominidae
Source: RNAcentral
UGUCUACCCUGAUUUUAUGGUGCUUGCCUAU